This 442-nucleotide long non-coding RNA is filed under the name Sorghum bicolor (sorghum). Its description in RNAcentral is "long non-coding RNA (SBIC_LNC018703)". Lineage: Eukaryota; Viridiplantae; Streptophyta; Magnoliopsida; Poales; Poaceae. The record is from RNAcentral.
UGGGCAUCUUUGUACCCCUAAUUCUACUUCGGACACUUGUCUAUUUUUACCUCUCAUCUCACUCUUUCUCUUUCUUUAUCGAGGUUCCGGGCACUUGCCCCUUUUUAUUUCCUCGUAUAUUUUUGCAUAACCCAUGCCUCUUCUGCAUUGAAUCUUUUUAGAGAGAGAGAAUAACAAUACUUGGGACAGUGAGUGAUAAUAUUUUUUAGCAAUUUUAAUGAUUGAUAAUGAAUGUUGUGGUAGAUGUGUGCAAGUGAAUAUCUUUAUUUAACCACAUGAAAAGCUCCUAAGGGUCUACACAGCUCGAUCAAACUCAAUGUAAAUAUAGUAAAAGAUGUUAUAGCAAGUAUGGCUGUGGUAGGUAGUUUUGUUAUGCUAGGAACUCAUCAUGUGAUUUGUAAGUUUUCAAAAUAAAUCUCCAGAACUUAGUGUAGUAGGAACA